GUGGGGAAUCUUGCGCAAUGGGCGAAAGCCUGACGCAGCCAUGCCGCGUGAAUGAUGAAGGUCUUAGGAUUGUAAAAUUCUUUCACCGGGGACGAUAAUGACGGUACCCGGAGAAGAAGCUCCGGCUAACUUCGUGCCAGCAGCCGCGGUAAUACGAAGGGGGCUAGCGUUGCUCGGAAUUACUGGGCGUAAAGGGCGCGUAGGCGGACAGCUUAGUCAGAGGUGAAAGCCCAGGGCUCAACCUUGGAAUUGCCUUUGAUACUGGCUGUCUUGAGUUUGGGAGAGGUGAGUGGAACUCCGAGUGUAGAGGUGAAAUUCGUAGAUAUUCGGAAGAACACCAGUGGCGAAGGCGACUCACUGGCCCAAUACUGACGCUGAGGCGCGAAAGCGUGGGGAGCAAACCGGAUUAGAUACCCCUGUAGUCC
This 425-nucleotide ribosomal RNA is filed under the name uncultured bacterium. RNAcentral describes it as "partial 16S ribosomal RNA". It matches the Rfam family "Bacterial small subunit ribosomal RNA", at positions 354 to 796 of the family's 1533-position model. The record is from RNAcentral.